RNAcentral lists this long non-coding RNA (980 nucleotides) under Ficedula albicollis (Collared flycatcher). RNAcentral describes it as "lncRNA (ENSFALG00000017695.2)". Lineage: Eukaryota; Metazoa; Chordata; Aves; Passeriformes; Muscicapidae. The record is from RNAcentral.
UGAAAAGCUGAUUGCUGUUGAAGUCAGUGUUUUGUUCUGAGAAACAUGAAACACUGGGAGCAGCUGAUCUGCUAGAGAGGGCAAUCUCUUGCACUAUAUUCUCCUGAGAUGAACCUAAGACUGGAGAAAGAGAUUAAAUAGCCCACAAGUCACCUUAGCCUGACCUUAGCCACUUGCUACAAUAAUGUGAACUGCUUUUGGAUUUUGCUGCCUGUUUUGAUAUCAAUCCUCCUUUGUGUUUUGACAGAUACUAUUGAAAAAGAGAACUACUUCUUGGCCAAAUACACAUUCAGCAAAGGAAGCCUGAAGACAGAAAUAGUUAAAAAUGGCUACCGUGGAGCUGACACUCUGAAGUACAACAAAAUUACCAUUCUUGGCCUGAAGCUGAGACCUCAAGCUGUGUCUCUGAAUGGAAGAUCCAUCCGUGGAGAUGCUGUGUCUUAUGAGAUGAGUGGGGUAAGACUUGAAUUGCGACUAAGAACAAACGUAGGGAAAGGAGGGUGAAGAGCAGUGAGGAGAGAUGAAGUCACUGAAGGAUCAGAACUGUUUCUCAUCCACACCCCUCUACAUUUUCAAGUAUAACCAGACACCAAUUCUUAAUACAACAGUUUGAAAUUUAGGAAAGGAAAAAAAAAAAAGCCAAAGCAAGUGCUCUUUUAGGAAACCUUAAAUCUUGCUAUUGCAUAUGCACUCUCUUUUACUUAAUGUCUGCCACUUACACAAAUUUUUAAGCUACUGAAAUAGUGGAAAGAAGAUACAGGUCCCUGAGCUGAGAGUGCAGUUAGCAGUUUUAUGGGCAUUCUUAUCAUUCUGAUAAAAUGACAAAACUUGUCCAAGCUUUUAAUCUGCUGCUGAAGUUUUGUGGAUUUUUUCUCACAAUUACUUGGUGUCCAAAAAUUAUUCCAGUGUAAUUGGCUCUAAGAAGCAUCUCCCUAUCAUCCAAAGAGGUAUAAUUUCAUUAUCUUAAAGUGCCAAGCCUC